CUCUAUUUUUAACAGAGAAUGUCCAUUUUGUAUUGGCUCAAGUUAUUCUUAACAUAAGCAUCUCUUAACUUUUCUUUGUUCAUUAAAGUUAUCCAUUAUGACAUUAUAGCAAAUUCACCAGUCCUUUAAAAUUUACAGCUAUUAAAUAUACUUUUGACAUCACAGGCUGGUUAGGGUUACAUCACACUUCGACUAUAAAAUGAGAAUUAUGGUUCCUAGUCUUAGAAAAAUUUAUGUAUCACAUAAUUUUGCAUAUGAUUUUGGAGAUUUGAAGUCAUACUGGUCAAAAACUUCUACCAUAAAGAAUGCUUGGGUUAAAAUGAACCUAUGAUUCUAAGGUAUUAAUGCACUUGCUACUAUAUAAGUUGCUAUUAGUCCUACGGAGGUAAUUCAGACACAAUGUACAUUAGUCACACUUCAUGGAGGUGGGGGCAGGGGGUGUAGGUAUUUA
This 451-nucleotide long non-coding RNA is filed under the name Bos taurus (domestic cattle). RNAcentral describes it as "long non-coding RNA NONBTAT018503". The record is from RNAcentral. Lineage: Eukaryota; Metazoa; Chordata; Mammalia; Artiodactyla; Bovidae.